Molecule: small nucleolar RNA, 81 nt
Organism: Lotus japonicus
Lineage: Eukaryota; Viridiplantae; Streptophyta; Magnoliopsida; Fabales; Fabaceae
Product: small nucleolar RNA R16
Exons: 1
Source: RefSeq, a predicted model, not a curated record
UUUGGCAAAUAAAAAAGUAACUUUUAUGCUACACCGAAUUUCAUGUGUACACAACAACUCCGCUUAUUAUCUGAUGCCAUU